This 468-nucleotide ribosomal RNA is filed under the name uncultured bacterium. RNAcentral's name for it is "partial 16S ribosomal RNA". It matches the Rfam family "Bacterial small subunit ribosomal RNA", at positions 28 to 507 of the family's 1533-position model. The record is from RNAcentral.
GACGAACGCUGGCGGCGUGCUUAACACAUGCAAGUCGAACGGAAAGGCCCUGCUUUUGUGGGGUGCACGAGUGGCGAACGGGUGAGUAACACGUGAGUAACCUGCCCUUGACUUUGGGAUAACUUCAGGAAACUGGGGCUAAUACCGGAUAGGAGCUCCUGCUGCAUGGUGGGGGUUGGAAAGUUUCGGCGGUUGGGGAUGGACUCGCGGCUUAUCAGCUUGUUGGUGGGGUAGUGGCUUACCAAGGCUUUGACGGGUAGCCGGCCUGAGAGGGUGACCGGCCACCUUGGGCCUGAGAUGCGGCCCCUACUCCUACGGGAGGCAGCAGUGGGGAAUAUUGCACAAUGGGCGGAAGCCUGAUGCAGCAACGCCGCGUGCGGUAUGACGGCCUUCGGGUUGUAAACCGCUUUCGCCUGUGCCGAAGCGUGAGUGACGGUAAUGGGUAAAGAAGCACCGGCUAACUACGUG